This 245-nucleotide ribosomal RNA is filed under the name uncultured bacterium. Its description in RNAcentral is "partial 16S ribosomal RNA". It matches the Rfam family "Bacterial small subunit ribosomal RNA", at positions 528 to 772 of the family's 1533-position model. The record is from RNAcentral.
UAGGGAGCAAGCGUUAUCCGGAUUUAUUGGGUGUAAAGGGUGCGUAGACGGAGUAGCAAGUUAGUUGUGAAAUCCCUCGGCUUAACUGAGGAACUGCAACUAAAACUACUACCCUUGAGUGCUGGAGAGGAAAGUGGAAUUCCUAGUGUAGCGGUGAAAUGCGUAGAUAUUAGGAGGAACACCAGUGGCGAAGGCGACUUUCUGGACAGUAACUGACGUUGAGGCACGAAAGUGUGGGGAGCAAA